CUUUGUAACAAGAAGAAUUCCAUUGCACUUUUGCUGCCUAUAUUAAGGAAACAGUGUUUUAGGAGUGACAAAAGAAAACAAAUAAGAGAAAAGUAAAUCGCGUAGUAUGGGAUACUGUGAUUGUCUGGUUGCUCCAUGUGACAUAUCUCAUCGCCUCUACACCACUUUGGGCCUUUGGCAUUAAAGUCUCCUACUUUGCUUCCCUUUCCCUUUUCACACUAACACACAAUCAAAGACCUUACAUAUUUCUAUCACCCCCUUAAUUAUUCUCCUCUCCCCUCUCCCCUCUCCCCUCUCCCAAUGGCCACACACUUUUUUAAUCAUCUUGUCUAAAAUUCAGAUCUAACUGAGGCUUUAAAUUUGGAAAGAAGCCUCGUUAGAUUAGAAACAAGAGUCAUUGAUUUCAGUACAUAUGGCUCCACUUCCACAUUCCUGCAGCUUUACUAAGGUACUUUUAGUACUCUCUCUUGUUUUUGUGUUAUUCACUCUUUCAUUCUUUUCUGCAUAUAGUGAGGUCCAACCCCAAAAUAAUGUUAGAAGCAGAAGAAUGUUGGAACUAGAAAAUGAGUCAAAGCCAAUUAAGAAGAAAACAAAUCCAACUUCACUUUCAGCUUCCAAGAACCAAA
Molecule: long non-coding RNA, 626 nt
Filed under: Nicotiana tabacum (common tobacco)
Lineage: Eukaryota; Viridiplantae; Streptophyta; Magnoliopsida; Solanales; Solanaceae
Description: long non-coding RNA (NTAB_LNC009923)
Source: RNAcentral